GACGAACGCUGGCGGCGUGCCUAAUACAUGCCAGUUGAGCGAUAAAGCUUGGUUCUUGCCCCGAUUUGAAGGGCAGCGAACGGGGGAGUAACGCGUGGGGCGUCUGCCUUUUAGCGGGGGACAACGUUUAGAAACGAAUGCUAAUACCGCAUAACAACUUUAACCAUAAGUUUUAAGUUUGAAAGAUGCAAUUGCAUCACUCAAAGAUGAUCCCGCGUUGUAUUGGCUAGUUGGUGAGUGAAAGGCUCACCAAGGCGAUGAUACAUAGCCGACCGGCGAGGGUGGUGGGCCAACGUGGGACUGGGAAACGGGCCAAACUCCUACGGGAGGCAGCAGUAGGGAGUCGUCAGCAAUGGACGAAAGUCUGACCGAGGAACGACGGGUGAGUGGAGGAGGUUGUCGGAUCGUGAAACUCUGUUGGUAGAGAAGAGCGAUGGUGAGAGUGGAAAGCUCAUGUAGUGACGGUAACUACACAAAAAGCGACGGCUAACUACGUG
RNAcentral lists this ribosomal RNA (497 nucleotides) under uncultured bacterium. Its description in RNAcentral is "partial 16S ribosomal RNA". It matches the Rfam family "Bacterial small subunit ribosomal RNA", at positions 28 to 507 of the family's 1533-position model. The record is from RNAcentral.